RNAcentral lists this ribosomal RNA (197 nucleotides) under uncultured bacterium. RNAcentral's name for it is "partial 16S ribosomal RNA". It matches the Rfam family "Bacterial small subunit ribosomal RNA", at positions 328 to 539 of the family's 1533-position model. The record is from RNAcentral.
ACGCUCGACACCUACGGGGGCAGCAGUGGGGAAUAUUGCACAAUGGGGGAAACCCUGAUGCAGCGACGCCGCGUGAAGGAAGAAGUAUCUCGGUAUGUAAACUUCUGUCAGCAGGGAAGAAAAUGACGGUACCUGACUAAGAAGCCCCGGCUAACUACGUGCCGGCAGCCGCGGUAAUCUGAGCGGGCUGGCAAGGC